UCCGGUUUGUCACCGGCAGUCAUCCUAGAGUGCCCACCCGAAGUGCUGGCAACUAAGAUCAAGGGUUGCGCUCGUUGCGGGACUUAACCCAACAUCUCACGACACGAGCUGACGACAACCAUGCACCACCUGUGUAGGGCCCCGAAGGACACCGUAUCUCUACGGCUUUUCCCUACAUGUCAAGCCCAGGUAAGGUUCUUCGCGUUGCAUCGAAUUAAGCAACAUGCUCCGCCGCUUGUGCGGGCCCCCGUCAAUUCCUUUGAGUUUUAGCCUUGCGGCCGUACUCCCCAGGCGGGGCACUUAAUGCGUUAGCUACGGCACGGAAUCCGUCGAUAGGACCCCACACCUAGUGCCCAUCGUUUACGGCGUGGACUAC
Molecule: unclassified non-coding RNA, 376 nt
Filed under: uncultured Actinomycetes bacterium
Lineage: Bacteria; Bacillati; Actinomycetota; Actinomycetes
Description: uncultured actinobacterium contains 16S-23S intergenic spacer region
Source: RNAcentral